AGGAAGCUGAUCAUUCCUUCUCUGUAAAUGAAAGUGAAAGAGAUUUAAAGCCAGGGUCGCCAUUUUAGCAAAAAGAACGAAAAAGAUUCUGGGAGGAUUUAAAGAUAUUUGCUUUGCAAGUUAAACUGAAACUACAGCAAAAACUUGAUUCAAGUGACUUUACUUCUAAGUGGAUUUUCAGUAUAAGAGAGGAAAGCAUGGCAUGCAUGGAUGGAUUUGGAGAUGACUUCUGUUCACUUUUUGAAUUCCUUUUGGAACAUGACAACACAUGGAGCGAUAGUAGGACGUACAUCAUGUACCAUGGUACCACAGGAACAGCCGCAUUAUAUAUUAAAAAGCACGGAUUUCAGCAGUCCAGUGAUGGCAUGCUUGGACCUGGAGUCUAUGUCAGUCGGAGCUUUGAGAAGGCCCAAAGAUACCCAAUAAAUCUACCCUUCAACGAACAGCAAGCUGUACUCAAGCUGAGGGUUCAAGUAGGAAAAGUAAAGAAGAUCGACAAGCAGGGACACCCCCUCCAA
Paramormyrops kingsleyae is the source of this 518-nucleotide non-coding RNA. Lineage: Eukaryota; Metazoa; Chordata; Actinopteri; Osteoglossiformes; Mormyridae. The record is from RefSeq and is a predicted model, not a curated record.